This 619-nucleotide ribosomal RNA is filed under the name Rhodotorula dairenensis. RNAcentral describes it as "eukaryotic LSU rRNA". The stretch from base 184 to 337 matches the Rfam family "5.8S ribosomal RNA". Lineage: Eukaryota; Fungi; Basidiomycota; Microbotryomycetes; Sporidiobolales; Sporidiobolaceae. The record is from RNAcentral.
UCCGUAGGUGAACCUGCGGAAGGAUCAUUAGUGAACAUAGGACGUCCAACUUAACUUGGAGUCCGAACUCUCACUUUCUAACCCUGUGCAUUUGUUUGGGAUAGUAACUCUCGCAAGAGAGCGAACUCCUAUUCACUUAUAAACACAAAGUCUAUGAAUGUAUUUAAUUUUAUAACAAAAUAAAACUUUCAACAACGGAUCUCUUGGGUCUCGCAUCGAUGAAGAACGCAGCGAAAUGCGAUAAGUAAUGUGAAUUGCAGAAUUCAGUGAAUCAUCGAAUCUUUGAACGCACCUUGCGCUCCAUGGUAUUCCGUGGAGCAUGCCUGUUUGAGUGUCAUGAAUACUUCAACCCUCCUCUUUCUUAAUGAUUGAAGAGGUGUUUGGAUUCUGAGCGUUGCUGGGCUUACGGUCUAGCUCGUUCGUAAUGCAUUAGCAUCCGCAAUCGAACUUCGGAUUGACUUGGGGUAAUAGACUAUUCGCUGAGGAAUUCUAAUCUUCGGAUUAGAGCCGGGUUAGGUUAAAGGAAGCUUCUAAUCAGAAUGUCUACAUUUUAAGAUUAGAUCUCAAAUCAGGUAGGACUACCCGCUGAACUUAAGCAUAUCAAUAAGCGGAGGAAAAG